RNAcentral lists this ribosomal RNA (486 nucleotides) under uncultured bacterium. RNAcentral describes it as "partial 16S ribosomal RNA". It matches the Rfam family "Bacterial small subunit ribosomal RNA", at positions 28 to 507 of the family's 1533-position model. The record is from RNAcentral.
GAUGAACGCUGGCGGCGUGCCUAAUACAUGCAAGUCGAACGCUGGAGACCUAGCUUGCUAGAUCGAAGGAGUGGCGAACGGGUGAGUAAUACAUAAGCAACCUACCCACGAAGACUGGGAUAAUCUCUGGAAACGGGGACUAAUACCGGAUAGGUAAUCGGAAGGCAUCUUCUGGUUAUUAAAGGUUAAAAACACUGGUGGAUGGGCUGAUGGCGCAUUAGUUAGUUGGUGAGGUAACGGCCCACCAAGACGAUGAUGCGUAGCCGGCCUGAGAGGGUGAGCGGCCACAGUGGGACUGAGACACGGCCCAGACUCCUACGGGAGGCAGCAGUAGGGAAUGUUCGGCAAUGGGGGCAACCCUGACCGGGCAACGCCGCGUGAGUGAAGACGGCCUUCGGGGUGUAAAGCUCUGUUGUAAGGGAAGAACGGUAGAUAGAGAAUAUCUAAGUGACGGUACCUUACCAGAAAGCCACGGCUAACUACGUG